RNAcentral lists this ribosomal RNA (423 nucleotides) under uncultured bacterium. Its description in RNAcentral is "bacterial SSU rRNA". It matches the Rfam family "Bacterial small subunit ribosomal RNA", at positions 357 to 776 of the family's 1533-position model. The record is from RNAcentral.
AGGAAUAUUGGUCAAUGGGCGGGAGCCUGAACCAGCCAAGUCGCGUGAGGGAUUAAGGCCCUACGGGUCGUAAACCUCUUUUGCCGGGGAGCAGGGCGGCGGACGUGUCCGCCGUUUGAGAGUACCCGGAGAAAAAGCAUCGGCUAACUACGUGCCAGCAGCCGCGGUAAUACGUAGGUGGCGAGCGUUAUCCGGAAUCAUUGGGCGUAAAGAGGGAGCAGGCGGCCUGGAGGGUCUAUUGUUAAAAGGCAGUGGCUUAACCAUUGCAAGGCGAAGAAACCGGCAGGCUAGAGUUCUAAAGAGGAUCGUGGAAUUCCAUGUGUAGCGGUGAAAUGCGUAGAUAUAUGGAGGAACACCAGUGGCGAAGGCGACGAUCUGGGAAGAAACAGACGCUGAGUCCCGAAAGCGUGGGGAGCAAAUAGG